Molecule: long non-coding RNA, 839 nt
Organism: Nerophis lumbriciformis (worm pipefish)
Lineage: Eukaryota; Metazoa; Chordata; Actinopteri; Syngnathiformes; Syngnathidae
Source: RefSeq, a predicted model, not a curated record
GAAAAAAGCCCCGCAUUUCCAAAAAUGUAGGUGCCCGAGGAUCGCCAGUCAACAAAGGAGAAAAGAGUUGCUAAAGCUUUUAUAUUUUUCACUGAAAGGCUUCAGUCAACUCACAUUCGGUCACUGGCUUGGAAUGUGCUGUGCUACGCUUCGGACGGUGAGAAGACAUUUCCCGCUCGGGACAAGGUGCCGGCAGCAUGUCUGAUGUCCCCUCCCCGCGGGAAAGGAAGGAACUCUUAAUCACGGUGGUCCCGACUGCAGGGCGCCUCUGUGGGAGAACGGUGCCCCCUGGUUACCGGCACUGGGUGUGUCUGACGAGUCCCCCGUCCUCAAGGGUCCCCAAGUGUUCUGGCAGGAGGUCAGCACCCGAACACACGCAUCGAUGCGCACUAUUUUCAGACACGCGGGAAGGAUGUUAGUGGGAAUAGAGGGGUGGGCGGGGGUCUUGACAGUCUCUUAUUUUCCAACAGGCAACAAAACAACAGACUGAUGUUGGCAACAGUAAUUUUCCAUCCAGCCAAAGUCACGAAGGGGCAUCCUUGUACCUUUCCUGUCUUGAGCCUAAUCAGGACGUAUUUCCCUGUGAAAAAACACCAAGAGAAUCUUAAAUCAUAAAGUGACACACUUCCUUGACUGCACAUCCUUACUAUUCAACAACUAUUUUAAGAAAUCAUUUUAAUCGUCAGAAAAGUGCGACCCCCGAUUUAACUUUUUCACUUCCAAUAUUAGAACCUUGAGUAUUAGCAGAUACCGAUAUUAUCCCAAUUAUAAUGUGGAAUGUUACAAAACCCAAAAGCCAGUGAAGUUGUCACGUUGUGUAAAUGGUAAAUAAAAGAGAA